Molecule: long non-coding RNA, 450 nt
Filed under: Trifolium pratense (red clover)
Lineage: Eukaryota; Viridiplantae; Streptophyta; Magnoliopsida; Fabales; Fabaceae
Description: long non-coding RNA (TPRA_LNC005613)
Source: RNAcentral
UAACACUAGAGACUAAGACUUUUUAAAAGAAUACAAAUAUAAUAAUGUUGCAUCUCUCUUUCUCAUUAGUUGAUUGGAAACUAAUCACCUAGUUGGCCCUUGAGGUGCUAGCCUCUCUAGCUAUACUUAUACAAACAUAUUGCAAUUCGCCUAUCUCGGUGAUAUCUUUUGGAAUAUAUCCCACCAAGGCUAGAUAUAGGUUUUAAGAGGAUUAGUUUUGCCAUUAAAAAAGAUUUAGUGACACAAUUUUGCACUUGUUUGUCUUUCAUUCAAAUUUAAUUAUCUUAAAUAUAUAUAUACAAAUAUUGAAUGAAGCUAAAAAAAAGGACACAUGUGUAAACUAAUUUACAAUUAGAUCGUUGUUCUUUGCCCUCUUUAAAUUACUAACACUAGAAAAUACAUUGUCGAAAGAUAUUUUCCAUUAAAUUUGCCCUACCGAAAUAUAUCUUU